GGCGCACGGGUGAGUAACACGUAGCUAACCUGCCCCGAAGAGUGGGAUAACCCUGCGAAAGCAGGGCUAAGACCGCAUAAGCUCGCGACCUGUAGAGGAUUGCGAGAAAAGAACUUCGGUUGCUUCGGGAGGGGGCUGCGACCCAUCAGGUAGAUGGUGCGGUAACGGCGUACCAUGCCAACGACGGGUAGGGGACCUGAGAGGGUGAACCCCCACACUGGGACUGAGACACGGCCCAGACUCCUACGGGAGGCAGCAGUGAGGGAUAUUGCACAAUGGGCGCAAGCCUGAUGCAGCGACGCCGCGUGGGUGAUGACGGUCUUCGGAUUGUAAAACCCUUUUCUGGUUGACGAGCAAGGACGGUAGACCAGGAAGAAGUGUCGGCUAACUACGUGCCAGCAGCCGCGGUAAAACGUAGGACACGAGCGUUAUCCGGAGUUACUGGGCGUAAAGGGCGUGCAGGCGGCAUGGUAAGUCUGAUGUGAAAGCUCCCGGCUCAACCGGGAGAGGACAUUGGAGACUGCCAAGCUCGAGGCAGAUAGAGGGAUGUAGAAUUCCGGGUGUAGUGGUGAAAUGCGUAGAGAUCCGGAGGAAUACCAGAGGCGAAGGCGGCAUCCUGGGUCUGACCUGACGCUGAGACGCGACAGCAUGGGGAGCGAACGGGAUUAGAAACCCCGGUAGUCC
Molecule: ribosomal RNA, 684 nt
Filed under: uncultured bacterium
Lineage: Bacteria
Description: bacterial SSU rRNA
Rfam family: Bacterial small subunit ribosomal RNA
Source: RNAcentral